Long non-coding RNA from Suricata suricatta (meerkat), 373 nucleotides. RefSeq lists it as uncharacterized. The transcript is spliced from 3 exons. The record is from RefSeq and is a predicted model, not a curated record. NCBI's taxonomy places the organism in Eukaryota, Metazoa, Chordata, Mammalia, Carnivora, Herpestidae.
UGCCAACCUCACAGAUAUGGAUGUCCAGAGUGGCAUAGGGGUUCAGAAAUAGGGUAUAGAGCGAUCGCUUUUAAGUUAUGAUUCACAGUUAUGAGGUUAUAAUACUUAAAGGGACAAGCUCCAUUUCAAGUAAUGGCUUGGUGCCUUCGGAGGUACGCCCAGGGAAGCGUUUGCAACAGAACAGUUCCCCCCGCAUGAAUAGGUUCAUUAUUUGGAAGACUUCUCUGCUAUCAAGUCUAAGAGAGCUUGUUAUUCCUCCAGACACCAUGUGGAGAUGCCUGGGCUGCCUGUUGGAGGAUGAGAGACCCCACGGAAGAGAGAUGAGUCAUUGCCAUUGUUUCCUUGCCUUCUCGCACUGGCUACAACCUCCAGC